Long non-coding RNA from Salvia miltiorrhiza (redroot sage), 431 nucleotides. RefSeq lists it as uncharacterized. NCBI's taxonomy places the organism in Eukaryota, Viridiplantae, Streptophyta, Magnoliopsida, Lamiales, Lamiaceae. The record is from RefSeq and is a predicted model, not a curated record. The transcript is spliced from 4 exons.
UCCCACCAUUUCAGACUUGUCUGCAAAGCCAUUUCCUCUUGGCAAUUCCCACCAUUUCAGACUCUCUCUUUGGCGUACAGAAUCCAGCACACAACAAACAAACAGGAUCAACACUCACUGAAAUUUCUCACAAGGCUUUGAGCAUCAGGAGGAUUAGCACUGCUAUUCCGAUUCAGAGAUAAGGUUAAACGACAGGCUUUGCCUAGACAGGUUAAUGGCUGGUGAUGACGGGGCAGAGCUGAGGCUAGGGUUCAACUCCGUAUUUUGUCUUCCGCUAUUGCACUAGCUUUUAUUUGUCUUUUGUUUCUCCAACUUAAGACUUUUAUGUUAAAUUCUGAAUUAUGUUUUUAUCGAGCUUAAACUCUCAACUUCUAGCUCUAUGUUAUUUAACGUUGGUUAUCGGAAGCAUGAAACCGAACUUGUGAUCCUAA